RNAcentral lists this ribosomal RNA (421 nucleotides) under uncultured archaeon. RNAcentral describes it as "partial 16S ribosomal RNA". It matches the Rfam family "Archaeal small subunit ribosomal RNA", at positions 323 to 746 of the family's 1478-position model. The record is from RNAcentral.
CUACGGGUCGCAGCAGUUAGGAAUUUUUUGCAAUGCGCGAAAGCGUGACAAAGUGAGUCAGAGUGUUUUUCAUAUGAAAAACUUUUGUGAAAUUUAAAAUGCUUCACGAAUAAGGACUGGGCAAGACGAGUGCCAGCCGCCGCGGUAAUACUCGCGGUCCAAGUCGCAGCCAUAUUUAUUGGGUCUAAAACAUCCGUAGCUUGCUUAGUAAGUUCCCUGUGAAAUCCUAUCUCUCAAGGAUAGGGCGAGCAGGGAGUACUGUUGAGCUAGAGACUGGAAGACGUAAGAAGUACGUUCGAAGUAGCGGUAAAAUGUGUUAAUCUCGGACGGACUAACAACAGCGAAGGCAUCUUACGAGAACGGUUCUGACAGUGAGGAAUGAAGGCUAGGGGCGCAAAACGGAUUAGAUACCCCUGUAGUC